CGGCCAUUACGUAUAGGAUUCCGGACCGUGGUCAAAUAUCGUAAAAUUCCGCCCGUUGCUGCAGCCAAUCAGAUUGCAGAAAACGCUAGAAUUCCGCCCGCUGCCGUGAUUUACAAAAAAAUAAAGUAAUUUAUUUAAUCUUGAGUUUUAGCAAAGCCAAUUUUCGUGUGAUAUACAUUUGAGCAGUACAUCAUGAGCAUCAAACACAGUACCGACAAUUACAGAAAUAUAACUGAUAAUGAUUUCAGUUUUUUCUCCAAGUUUCUUUUGUAAGAGUUAUAUACUUGU
Paramuricea clavata is the source of this 288-nucleotide non-coding RNA. NCBI's taxonomy places the organism in Eukaryota, Metazoa, Cnidaria, Anthozoa, Malacalcyonacea, Plexauridae. The record is from the annotation of a GenBank genome assembly.